CAUAAGCAACAGCAGCAGCAGCAGCAUAAGCAGCAGCACCUGCUGCUGCUUAAGUGGUAAGAGGCUGCGCAGGCGCACCACACAUCCUCGGACCAAGGAGCGCCCCCCCCCCGCCCAUCUCUGGGGGCCUUUUUCAGGCCCCCAGACAUGGGUCUGUCUUCGGCGCCGCCUGAUGCAGUGAGAAAGUCCUGUGAAGGUAGACCUCUCCUGGCUGUUUUCCUUGCCGUGCAAUCUAGGCCACGAAGAAGGGACACACGUGAAAGCUUCAGGAGGGUGGAUCGUGGCUGGGUGAAAGGCCACUGCGGAGUUGGGUGAAUCGGGCCUUUUCAGGCAGUACAGGAGGCGCCAGGUCGAAGGGCUUCUCCCGUUGGCCUUAAGAGCUCGAGGCUUGAGCCGAGACCCUUAGCAGCUGGUAUCAGUGCAGGUUGAAGAUCCGAAGUCUCGACUUCCGGGAAAACAUGGCGGACAGAUAACAGCAGCUACGGAGGCUCUCUAAAAGACUCGGCUCAGAAGUCAGGAGUGGUGCGGAGUAAGGAGACAUAAGCAGGUGGAGAUAUGCUCUGCUGACCCAGGAACGAACUAGGCUGAGAGAAACCAACUUAGAAUGCAGUCCUGGUGCUAGAACAGGAACAGAGGGGUCUCAGUGUGGAGGCUGGAGCCUGCGCCAUUGGAAGCCGUGAUUUGGGUUUCCCGCCGCUCAGCAGCUGCGUCUACAUCAGCUCGGCAGUGAGAGAGAUGCACAGAAGCUCUGAGAACGGGAAUCUGUGAACGGAGUUGAAAACAGGAUGGGCGGGGAGCCGUGCACUGACUUGUGGUGAGGUGAGUGAGAGAAACUGACACUCUACCACAGUUUGACUCCAGCGGAGGACAUUCUGGGACUGGGCAGACUUGUGGGAGCGGGGCGCUGCAGCGACUCCAGCCACGUAUCCCCCUCUCAAGCAGGAUUGGUGAGAAGUGCCUAGGCUACGUGAUGCUGCUGGCGGACCCAGUAGGCUAGCCCAACCCAGAUCCCAGAGCCUGAGGGUGGCCUGGAGGGGCAGGCCCCGCGUAGGCUGCCUGGUCUGGAACUUCCUGGUGUGCUGUGGUGGGCAGGAACACCUAGCUGGCGCAAUUCGAUCAGGCUGUGGCUGACAGGGAGGGAAGCUGGGCCUCCUAUAUAAGCUUGCAUAUAUAAGGAACAAAGAAUAUGGGAAGAGGCAGCAACAAGAAAGGCUCCUCGGCCCCUAAUCCUGAGAAACAGGUAAUAGCGGUCACCACACCAAUAGACAUAAAGCGCCAUCUAGAGAGCCUCAUAGAUUAGUUCAGGAAUGAAGUUAUUAAUGACCUGAAGCUAGAAGUAAGCAGAAUAGUUAGAGAAAUGCUAAGCACCACACAAGAAAAAACGGAUGGUGGAAUGGAAGAACAGAAAAAGAGGGGAGAAUUGUUUGAUGGAGAAAAUAGAGAAAGCAUAGAAUACGUGAAGCAGGUUCAAAGGGACUACCAGGAAACUAAAAACUCUAUUGAAAACUGGCAUAACAGCUUGAAAGAAACUAAGGACAGACUAUCUGAACUGGAGGGCAGAUUUAUAAUAUGGGAGAAUGAAAGGAAAAACUUCUUAAAAAUAACAAAGAAACAAACAGCAAUAAUACAAAGACAAGAAGAUGAUAAGAGGAUCCAUAACUUAAGAAUUAAGAACAUAAAAGAAGAAGUAGGGACACAAACAAGUGAACUACAAAAGCUACUCACAGAAAUAAUCCAGGAGAAUUUUCCUAAUUUAGCAAAAGGUAAAGAUACUCAGAUGUAUGAGGCACACAGGACCCCAGCCACCUACAACUCAAACAGAGCAACACCCAGGCAUAUAAUAAUAAAAAUUCCAGAAAUUCAAUACAAGAACAGAAUAUUAAAAGCUGUCAGAGACAAGAAACAGACCACUUACAAGGGAGCACCCAUCAGAAUUACAGCAGAUUUCUCUGCACAAACCAUCAAAUCAUGAAGAGCGUGGGGGGAAAUAAUUCAAGCUUUGAAAGAUAAUAAUCUCCAGCCAAGAUUGAGAUAUCCUGCACAACUGUCCCUGGAAAUUGAUGGAAAAACAAGGUGCUUCCAGGAUAAAGAGGAACUGGGGGAAUUUGCAACCACCAAUUCAACUCUACAGAGAGUAUUGCAGGAUAUUCUAAAAAAAGAAAAAUACAGAGAAUCCAGAAAUAGUGGGGGGGAGGCCACAAUGAAUGGAGCAGAGAACAAAAUGAAGAAGACAAACUGACAGCUACUGACAGAAAAAGAGCUCAACAGAAAUGAGGCAGAGAAGAUUGGAUGAUAGGAACUGCUAUUUUGGAGAAAAUGAUGUCUUAAUAUGUAAUACUGAUUUAGUAUCAUCUUGUUUUGAAGUCUCAUCAAUGAAAUCUCAUUUUGUUCUUCUGUCUCCAUUGGUCUAAACAGGUUGUAUCUUAUUGGAUUUUAUUAUGUACGAUAGUAUAAGCAAAAACUUUUAAAGACAAGGAGAUUAUACAGAAACCAGUGUUCAUUUUCUGUUAGUUGAUUCUAAAUACCCUGUAAUGCUGUCAUUCUCUUAAAUGGUUUUACAUUGUUUUGAUAUAUUUAAUGCUACAGUAUACAAAGUUGUACUCAAGGAUUUCAAGGAAAGACACAAUAUGGUAACUACUUUUAUGUCAGGAUUAUCUUGUGGUGAAACACUAUUCUGCUUAAAUGGUUGUGUUUUGAUCUGCGCUGUUUUGCUGUUAUGCCCUCUUUUAUCUCAAUCUCCACUCCAUUAUUUACUUUUUUAUUUUUAUCCUUUUAAUUAAGGGAAAAAUAAAUAAAAAUAGCAGGAUAUAUUAUAGUAACCCACUUUGACUUUCCAUUAUCUUGAUUUGAAGCCCUGUGUUGCUCUCACCAUCUUGUUUUUGACUGAUGUUCCUCUAUUCUGUUUUGCUGGAUAGUACCAGGUUCGAAAGUUUAGGCAACAGCUGUGAAGAUAGUGAGAUUCAUUAUGACGCCCAUUCUCGUUGACUUUUAUCUACUUUUGAAGACCUACAAUGUAUCCAAUGUUUUGGUUUUGUUGGUUUUGUUCUUUAUUGCUUUGUUCAAUUUUAUUAUAACUGAUGAUAUAGGCAAUUCUAUUAGAGAUAGCGGGAGGCAUUAUGGUAACCAUUAUUGAUCACCUUGUAUUAUGCUUUUACAUUAUCUAUUAUGUCCACCCUUUUGAUUUGAUUGACUCUGUUCUGUUAAGUCACAUUUGGUUCUACUCCCUUCCACAAAAGUAGUAAGAACUGUGGGAGCAACAAAACCCAAAAUGUGUAAUUGUCAUUGUACAAAAGAGGAAAAGAAAGGGCUCUAAAUGAUAUAACUGCAGGUAUAUUUAAGUGUAUAAGAUAGAAAAUGAUAUCACUGAGUUUUAUUGGAUCAUUGAACAGAACUUUUGCAGUAUCAUUGUUGGAAUGUCCACUUUACAAGCUUUAAUUUUGUGACUUGAACAAUUAUUUCUAAGAUGACAAUAUGUAAUCCAUUAACUAGUGAUUUCCUACUGUUUAUUUUUUUCUGUAAAUCUGUAUAACUGGUAUCCUUUCUCUGCUUUUUUUUCUCCUUAAAUAAAUUAAAAAAAAAAAAAGAAGAAGAUCCGAAGUCUCAAAUUCUCCAAGCCCUGGAACCUUAAGGGCAAACACCAUGCCACAAGGAGACCCCACAGAUGACUCCCUGUGACCCUCACAGUCAAAGCACAGGUGUGUGGCAGCUUCUCCCCAGAUGCCUGCUGGCCUGAAGCCUGAAGCCUGAAGCCCACUGUCUCCAGCCCCAACAGCAUGCUGGCGAGGGUCAGAGCUGGGUGCAAGGAGGGGGCUGAGCUGGGGCCACUGGACUCACUUGAGGUCCAGGAGAUGGAGCUAAAGCGUUAGGUUCUAUUUAUGAAGGAGACAACUGUUUCUGGGAAUUAUGUCCAGUUUCAUUUCCACAUGGGAUAGAUGAAAAGGUGACCCCCAAUGCCUUUUUAGUAGAGAUUUCCUGGAUAGAAACAUACCUCCAGCCCUGCCCCAAUUACAUGUAUGAAGGCUUUUAAAAAAACAAUAACAUAUCAUCGCUGUAAAACAAAGUAAACUGAAGUUCCGGGAAGCAGUGGAAAUUAACCUGAGAACAGCAGUGACCUAUACAUCCUUUGACUACGCCAAGGAGAAUAAAGAGCUGUUUGCAGAGAAUCACUGUCCCAUUCGUUCAACAUCCAUAGCACUGUCAUCUCAGUUGAAACUCCUAAUGUUAUGGCUUGUGUCUAGAUGCCCCUCCAAAGCCUCCUGCAGUCAUAGGUGGGGCAUUGUCAGAGGUGACCAGAUCUAGAGUGUGUGAUAGGUGCAGUGUUAAGAUUAAGGGUGGGUGGUUACUAAAUCAGCCCACUGAUUGGUUUGGUCCUAAUCCUGGCAGCAUGGAUACAGAAAUAAACUCAUCUUACCCUCUCCCUUGAUGCCCACCAAGAACUUUUCCUGUGCCUCUCCACCUUGCCUGGAGUCAGCUGAGGGUGGACUGAAACCUCUACAAACUGGGAGCUAAAUAAACCUCCCUUAUCUUGUGGGUGUUGGGUAUUUUGUCUAUCUAACAAGAGAAAUGUAAUUAACACACCUAGUAUAACCCCAUCAAGUUAGAAAAACGACAAAAAGGACAACUUUCAAAAACUCAGAAACACAAACUGGCAGAUAAAACAGAUCAGGAAGAGGAGCUUGCUCCGGGCUGGAAUUGGGUUGAUUUGGUGAAGCACUGAGGAGCACAGACCUGAAGGGGACAACUAGCCCUUGGAAUCUGAGAUAAGGGAAGAGUGUCCCUUAGAAAGUAAACUGGUUUCCACAGCUUUCAUUACCAUUUUCUGGUACUGAGGUGUUUUUUUUUUUUUUUUUUUUUA
This is a long non-coding RNA of Cavia porcellus (domestic guinea pig), 4855 nucleotides long. RefSeq lists it as uncharacterized. The transcript is spliced from 2 exons. The record is from RefSeq and is a predicted model, not a curated record. NCBI's taxonomy places the organism in Eukaryota, Metazoa, Chordata, Mammalia, Rodentia, Caviidae.